This 467-nucleotide ribosomal RNA is filed under the name uncultured Bacteroidota bacterium. RNAcentral's name for it is "bacterial SSU rRNA". It matches the Rfam family "Bacterial small subunit ribosomal RNA", at positions 916 to 1381 of the family's 1533-position model. Lineage: Bacteria; Pseudomonadati; Bacteroidota. The record is from RNAcentral.
GACGGGGCCCGCACAAGCGGAGGAGCAUGUGGUUUAAUUCGAUGAUACGCGAGGAACCUUACCUGGGCUUAAAUGCUUAAUGACGUACUGGGAAACUGGUAUUUCUUCGGACAUUUUGCAAGGUGCUGCAUGGUUGUCGUCAGCUCGUGCCGUGAGGUGUCGGGUUAAGUCCCAUAACGAGCGCAACCCCUAUUGUUAGUUGCCAUCAGGUCAUGCUGGGGACUCUAACAAAACUGCCCGCGUAAGCGUGGAGGAAGGUGGGGAUGACGUCAAAUCAGCACGGCCCUUACGUCCAGGGCUACACACGUGCUACAAUGGCCGGUACAGAGGGCAGCCACUUGGUGACAAGGAGCAAAUCUCAAAAGCCGGUCUCAGUUCGGAUCGGGGUCUGCAACUCGACUCCGUGAAGUUGGAUUCGCUAGUAAUCGUAGAUCAGCAAUGCUACGGUGAAUACGUUCCCGGGCCUU